ACCCGCUGAACUUAAGCUUAUCAAUAAGCGGAGGAAAAGAAACCAACAGGGAUUGCCCUAGUAACGGCGAGUGAAGCGGCAACAGCUCAAAUUUGAAAUCUGGCUCUUUUAGAGUCCGAGUUGUAAUUUGCAGAGGGCGCUUUGGCUUUGGCAGCGGUCCAAGUUCCUUGGAACAGGACGUCACAGAGGGUGAGAAUCCCGUACGUGGUCGCUGGCUAUUGCCGUGUAAAGCCCCUUCGACGAGUCGAGUUGUUUGGGAAUGCAGCUCUAAAUGGGAGGUACAUUUCUUCUAAAGCUAAAUAUUGGCCAGAGACCGAUAGCGCACAAGUAGAGUGAUCGAAAGAUGAAAAGCACUUUGGAAAGAGAGUCAAACAGCACGUGAAAUUGUUGAAAGGGAAGCGCUUGCAGCCAGACUUGCUUACAGUUGCUCAUCCGGGCUUUUGCCCGGUGCACUCUUCUGUAGGCAGGCCAGCAUCAGUUUGGGCGGUAGGAUAAAGGUCUCUGUCACGUACCUCUCUUCGGGGAGGCCUUAUAGGGGAGACGACAUACUACCAGCCUGGACUGAGGUCCGCGCAUCUGCUAGGAUGCUGGCGUAAUGGCUGU
RNAcentral lists this ribosomal RNA (603 nucleotides) under uncultured fungus. RNAcentral describes it as "eukaryotic LSU rRNA". It matches the Rfam family "Eukaryotic large subunit ribosomal RNA", at positions 23 to 641 of the family's 3401-position model. The record is from RNAcentral. Lineage: Eukaryota; Fungi.